RNAcentral lists this ribosomal RNA (616 nucleotides) under Exophiala alcalophila. RNAcentral's name for it is "LSU rRNA". It matches the Rfam family "Eukaryotic large subunit ribosomal RNA", at positions 38 to 667 of the family's 3401-position model. Lineage: Eukaryota; Fungi; Ascomycota; Eurotiomycetes; Chaetothyriales; Herpotrichiellaceae. The record is from RNAcentral.
GCAUAUCAAUAAGCGGAGGAAAAGAAACCAACAGGGAUUGCCUCAGUAACGGCGAGUGAAGCGGCAACAGCUCAAAUUUGAAAUCUGGCCUCUUGGGGUCCGAGUUGUAAUUUGUAGAGGAUGUUUCGGGUACCGCCCCGGUCUAAAUUUCUUGGAACAGAAUGUCAGAGAGGGUGAGAAUCCCGUCUUGGACCGGUGGUAGGGCCUAUGUGAAACUCCUUCGACGAGUCGAGUUGUUUGGGAAUGCAGCUCAAAAUGGGUGGUAAAUUUCAUCUAAAGCUAAAUAUUGGCCAGAGACCGAUAGCGCACAAGUAGAGUGAUCGAAAGAUGAAAAGCACUUUGAAAAGAGAGUUAAACAGUAUGUGAAAUUGUUGAAAGGGAAGCGCUGGCAAUCAGACUUGCGCGCGGCGGUUCCCCCUGCCUUUUGGCUGGGUUAUUCCGCCGUGUCCAGGCCAACAUCGGUUCUGGGGGCCGGUUAAAGGCCUUGGGAAUGUACCUACCCUUCGGGCGUAGACUUAUAGCCCAAGGUGUCAUGCGGCCUCCCGGGACCGAGGAACGCGCUUCGGCUCGGAUGUUGGCGUAAUGGUUGUCAGCGACCCGUCUUGAAACACGGACC